Molecule: transfer RNA, 73 nt
Filed under: Planctomyces sp.
Lineage: Bacteria; Pseudomonadati; Planctomycetota; Planctomycetia; Planctomycetales; Planctomycetaceae
Also listed under: 4 other names
Description: tRNA-Gly
Rfam family: tRNA
About the family: Transfer RNA (tRNA) molecules are approximately 80 nucleotides in length.
Source: RNAcentral
GCGGACGUAGCUCAGUUGGUAGAGCACGACCUUGCCAAGGUCGAUGUCGAGGGUUCGAGUCCCUUCGUCCGCU